AUCACACAGAUUGGUUGCUUGCCUUCUAUCAAGAAAAAUUCACGAGUACUCCAAGGUUCAAAUGGCUAACGUCUGCGACAUUUGUGGUAUUGGUGUAAUACCGUGCACCUUAGAUCAUGAACAAGUACAUAAAUUCUGGGCGAUAGUUCCAGAGAAUCAUCGUUAUGGGAUUAAUUGUACUUUGCCGAGGCAUUUAGCCAUUUAGGUACUACAUCGAGCAACAAUAUUUCACAGUGAAGACUUCUCACGGAUCUGGCUACAGGAUGUGUGCGAGAGAGAAUGGAGAUAGAAUUUUUAUAGAGGGCAUUGGAUGGGAUUGCUUUUACUACGACUAUGAUAUAAGAAGAGGAGACACGAUACAUUUUCGCUACAACUAUAAAGAUUUUGUGAUGUAUAUGUCCCCAAUACAUCCAAAUGGUGAACCAAAGGUUAUAAUUACCGAUGUAUUUGACGAAGAAGAAAGACCUGUUGCAUACGACAAUGGGUUUAAUCUAAUACAAAGGCAAGUCAACAACAUGCGUACUUUAGUACAGACUUAUGAGGACUAUCCUGCGCAGGUCCAUUGCUUUACAACUGCCAACAUAUAUGGUAAUUAUUUGGUAAUACAUAGACCAAUAGUUGGGAGCCUUGGUCUACAACAAUAUGGUUUACUUUUACUGGAAAUGAGCCGGCAAACACACCAAUCAACAUAAGUUGAUUAUCAUAUUAAAAGAGAUGCCUGUCUCAAAAUUAACGGUCCUGCAUGGAGUAAUUUUGUAAGUCAACAUGAGAUAUAUGUUGACGUGUGUGUAGUAAUACUUGUUAUUCCUGAAAACAAUAGGCAGGAAGUGACGUUGAGAUUCAAACCUAUUACACCAGUUGGAAGGCAAAUAUUAAGUUCCGAUGAAGAUUCUGAUUCAAAAGAUGAAGAC
Triticum dicoccoides is the source of this 911-nucleotide long non-coding RNA. RefSeq lists it as uncharacterized. NCBI's taxonomy places the organism in Eukaryota, Viridiplantae, Streptophyta, Magnoliopsida, Poales, Poaceae. The transcript is spliced from 5 exons. The record is from RefSeq and is a predicted model, not a curated record.